GACGAACGCUGGCGGCGUGCUUAACACAUGCAAGUCGAACGGGACUAGAAAAGCUUGCUUUGCUAGUCUAGUGGCAAACGGGUGAGUAACACGUAGACAACCUGCCGAUCAGAUGGGGACAACAUUCCGAAAGGAAUGCUAAUACCGAAUGGUGUGCGGGGGAGGCAUCUCCCCCGCAUGAAAGAUGGCCAAUACAUGUAAGCUAUCACUGAUCGAUGGGUCUGCGUCUGAUUAGCUGGUAGGUAAGGUAACGGCUUACCUAGGCGACGAUCAGUAGCCGGUCUGAGAGGAUGAACGGCCACAUUGGGACUGAGACACGGCCCAGACUCCUACGGGAGGCAGCAGUGGGGAAUCUUCCGCAAUGGGCGCAAGCCUGACGGAGCAACGCCGCGUGAGUGAAGAAGGUCUUCGGAUCGUAAAGCUCUGUUGAAGGGGACGAACGUGUAUAGUGCAAAUAGUGCUAUAUAAAGACGGACCUUUGAGAG
Molecule: ribosomal RNA, 485 nt
Filed under: Selenomonas sp. oral taxon F23
Lineage: Bacteria; Bacillati; Bacillota; Negativicutes; Selenomonadales; Selenomonadaceae
Description: bacterial SSU rRNA
Rfam family: Bacterial small subunit ribosomal RNA
Source: RNAcentral